GACGAACGCUGGCGGCGUGCCUAAUACAUGCAAGUAGAACGCUGAAGGAGGAGCUUGCUCUUCUGGAUGAGUGGCGAACGGGUGAGUAACGCGUAGGGAACCUGCCUGGUAGCGGGGGAGAACUAUUGGAAACGAUAGCUAAUACCGCAUAAGAGUAGAUGUUGCAUGACAUUUACUUAAAAGGUGCAAUUGCAUCACUACCAGAUGGACCUGCGUUGUAUUAGCUAGUUGGUGGGGUAACGGCGUACCAAGGCGACGAUACCUAGUCGACCUGAGAGGGUGGUCGGCCCCCCUGGGAAUGGGGCCCCGCCCAGGCUCCUUCGGGAGGCCGCCGUAGGGGAUCUUCGGCCAUGGACGGAAGUCUGACCGAGCCACGCCGCGGGGGUGGAGAAGGUUUUCGGAUCGUUAAGCUCUGUUGUUUGGGAAGAACGAGUGUGGGAGUGGAAAGUUCACACUGUGACGGUAUCUUACCAGAAAGGGACGGCUAACUACGUG
This 495-nucleotide ribosomal RNA is filed under the name uncultured bacterium. Its description in RNAcentral is "partial 16S ribosomal RNA". It matches the Rfam family "Bacterial small subunit ribosomal RNA", at positions 28 to 507 of the family's 1533-position model. The record is from RNAcentral.